RNAcentral lists this unclassified non-coding RNA (331 nucleotides) under soil metagenome. RNAcentral describes it as "partial contains 5.8S ribosomal RNA, internal transcribed spacer 2, and large subunit ribosomal RNA". The stretch from base 1 to 120 matches the Rfam family "5.8S ribosomal RNA", at positions 35 to 154 of the family's 154-position model. The record is from RNAcentral.
GAUGAAGAACGUAGCGAAAUGCGAUAAGUAGUGUGAAUUGCAGAAUUCAGUGAAUCAUCGAAUCUUUGAACGCACAUUGCGCCCUUUGGUAUUCCUUAGGGCAUGCCUGUUCGAGCGUCAUUUAAACCUUCAAGCUCAGCUUGGUGUUGGGUGACUGUCCGCUUCACCGCGGACUCGCCUCAAAAUUAUUGGCGGCCGGUACAUUGGCUUCGAGCGCAGCAGAAACGCGAACUCGGGCCCGUCGUAUUGGCUCCCAGAAGCUAUCUUCACAAUUUUGACCUCGGAUCAGGUAGGGAUACCCGCUGAACUUAAGCAUAUCAAUAACGGAGGA